RNAcentral lists this transfer RNA (76 nucleotides) under Rhizobium ruizarguesonis. RNAcentral's name for it is "tRNA-OTHER". Lineage: Bacteria; Pseudomonadati; Pseudomonadota; Alphaproteobacteria; Hyphomicrobiales; Rhizobiaceae. The record is from RNAcentral.
GGUCCUGCACCUCAGCAGGAUAGAGCAUCAGAUUCCUAUCUGGGGGUCGCGCGUUCGAAUCGCGCCGGGAUGACCA